GUGGACAUAGUUCAGCUGGUUAGAACGUCGGAUUGUGGUUCCGAAGGUCGUGGGUUCGAAUCCCAUUGUCCACC
RNAcentral lists this transfer RNA (74 nucleotides) under Bacteroidales bacterium. RNAcentral describes it as "tRNA-His". It matches the Rfam family "tRNA". From Rfam's summary of the family: Transfer RNA (tRNA) molecules are approximately 80 nucleotides in length. Their secondary structure includes four short double-helical elements and three loops (D, anti-codon, and T loops). The record is from RNAcentral. Lineage: Bacteria; Pseudomonadati; Bacteroidota; Bacteroidia; Bacteroidales.